This 3389-nucleotide long non-coding RNA is filed under the name Ursus thibetanus thibetanus. RNAcentral describes it as "lncRNA (ENSUTTG00000006087.1)". The record is from RNAcentral. Lineage: Eukaryota; Metazoa; Chordata; Mammalia; Carnivora; Ursidae.
CUUCACUAGGAAAAGAGUGACUUUCGUUUCUCAAUCUGGCUGCUUGUGGUAAAAUUCUCGGAAGCUGACCCGGGAUCCAGAGACAAUAUCAAGGCUCUGGGAGGCGUUAGUUGGAAAGAUGUGAGCGGAAACUUGAAAUGUGCUCGCUGGGUUGGACUCCCACUCUGGCGCUCCAGUGAAGAGCGUUCCCAAAGAGUAUUCCGCAGCUGCGCCCUCAGCCUGGGCCCAAGGACACAGGACGUGGAGCGGAUCCUAUGUCCUGGGUGUCUGCUGCUUGAAAAGGUUUCAGAUGCUCAGGGAACAGACCUGAGCCCGGAAGAACUUGGAGCGCGGAGCCGGGAGCCAGCCCAGCCCCGCCACUGCCCAAUGAACACGAGAACAAAUGACGGCUGUUUGAAACCACUACAUUUUGAGGAUAUUAUUUACUACACUGCGUUAUUGUGGCAGUAGGUGACUAAAACAAGUCACAUCCGGUUCCAGUUAAGAGAGGCCAAGAGAAUGAUCUCAUGAAGCUUGCCAAUAGCCAAUCCCUAUGAUGCUGGACCACCUGUGGGUUCUAGGUAGGAGAAAAAUGCCCUCUUCACAUCUCCCUGCCAUACUUGAGGUCGUACAGGCCGCAGGGCACCUCUGCUUAUCCCUGGCAUCUUAAAUACACUAUACGAGAAAGUAGCCCCCUCAAUCUCUGUCUUGCCCAGAAUUUCCAAGAGUAUCCCAUGAGAACAGCUGGCUCACCUUAGUGGCUCAGGCCUUCUAAUUAUCGUCACUGAAACUCAGUCCAAAGGGAGAAAGGCACAGAUGCCAUGGGUCUCGUCUUCUCCAUUGUCCUCGUUCCUCAUCCCCGGAGACUCCCCUUCACUAACUCUUGCCUCUUCCCAGUUGCAAACAAAAGUAGACGUCACAGAUGUGGUGCUUAGAAGGGUGGGUCGUUUAUACCAGGAGAGCUCAUCCUGCAACUAGCCGGCCAUAAUGCCCUGCAUGCGAGCGCACGUGUGUGUGUGUGUGUGUGUGUGUGUUUAUGUGUGUGUAUGUGUGUGCAUAUUUCUUUUCAAAUUUCUAUAUGUUUGGAAUUGGGCAAAGUGGGGUUAAAGAGAUAAAGACUUACUUUUGUCCUUCUUUUUGAGCGCUACCCUUAGAACCGUGGGCAGUCCGGUAGAUAUUCCAGAUAACUCUUCCAUUGCUUAGUUAAAACUCUCCCAUAAGAAGAAAGAAAGAACAUGGCAUUAUAACCAAAGCAGGUGCACACUACGUGAUCGGGGACUGAAGACUGACAUGCAGUUUGGAUUGUCCCUGUCGUGGUCCAGCUUGGGGGGGGGGGUGGUAUGGUCCAGCUUCCCUUUAGUGAUGACAAGGCUUAGAUCAAAUUGAGGGAGAAAUAAGAAAGCAGAGGAUAAAUAGGUAUAAUUUUCAGUGCACUGAAAGACUCUAGCAAGCAAAUAUUGAUUUCAGUGCUUGGUACGCAAAUGAGUGUAUUGAUCCCAUCCUUUUCGUCCAAAGUGCCCGGUUUCAUUUUCUCCUCAAUUGCAGACUACCAUUUCGGAGUGGGCAGUCUGAUUCAGUGAGCCAGUGCAAGUCUAAUGACUUACUUUUCGGAUCCCACAGUGUGCUCUGACUUUUGAAAAAUCUCAAUAUACUUACGGCUCCAGAAGGAAAAGGAAGCUUCAUUGACUCUUUCAACGGUGAUGUAUUAUAACAUUCCCAGCAAUCAAAAUUUGGCUUUAUUAGGGGAAAAAUGAAAAAAAAAGUCCCUGUGAGGCAUUUUGUAUUCAAAACUGCUUAGCUUCUUUCUGCUGCUUCCCGCAGCCAGGACAAUGGUAUUCCAGAGAGGGGAAAUGAGAAGGGCUGCUCGAACCGCCUCAGGUUGGCCUUUCGUGAUAUGUUGUGUCAGCUGUGGGGAUAAAGUGUCCCUGGAAACAACUAUUUAACAGGAAACUAGUCUAUGCUAGGCAUUCAAUGGACAGGAUUUCAACAUUUUGGGGGAGAAAAGUCUAUGAAAUGAAGAAGCAAUCAUCUGUGUAUCUCUUUGCUCUUUUUCACGGUGACAAAGGCAUCCCUUACACAUCAGUGAUGAUGUCAUUUCAGAUGGCAUCCCUUACACAUCAGUGACGAUGUCAUGCAGGGGCAUGCAUGAACAGUGACCUCAUUUGACAGUGGGAGGUGACAUUGCAGAGAGAGUAAAAGGAUCAGGUUUGGACGCAAGUAAAAGGAUUUCAGAAGAUCUCUGUUCUGAGGUUGACUCCCAACAAGGCAGUUACCGGGAUCCUUGUGUGAACAUUUCAUGGGGACAGGGCUUUUCCAGAGCAUACCAGGUGGCUUCCUCUUGGCCAGCACAGGAUGCCAGGCUCCCAGCCCCCAAGGGUGGCAGCUCACCCUCCCUUCCUACGAGCGGAUGAGCAGCAUACGGCCAUGUGGUUCUCAGGGACAGAGCCUGCGGCUUUUCCCAGCCGGUUGGGAAAAUAAAUGUGGAUGAAAAAGAGAAGGUUUUAAAAUAAAACCAAAAAGAUUAAGCUCUGAUACCCGGGCUCUAUGCCUUCCUGGACAGAGAAGAAAACACGGAGCUGAACAUUGAUGUGGUGAUGCUUGGCAUGGCGGGAACAUCAAACCUGCUUCUCGCUGCACACCUGAAACCCCGAAGUGUCCAGAAGUAAGGGAACGAAGAAGGAGAGGUUUCCAGCUAUAAAGUCCUCAAUCUUCACGCACGCAACAAAAACAGGAACCCUUUUAAAUAGACGGCCUCUCCAGCCUUUUAGAAGAUGAUUCCCAAGAAGAUGAGUGAGUUAAAGUGGAUUGUUAAAAAUAAAAAUAACGGUAAAGAGGAUUGAUGAUCUUUGGGGCGAGAAUAAUAGGUGGGAAAAGAAAGCACAUCCAGAAUUUAGUACGGCUAUGUCUACGACGCUGUCUCCAUGCAGCCCAAGCUGGUUACAGUGAGCCAAGUCCUUCCAAAGAGACUUUUGCCAUUUGUGCCAACACGGAUGGACUUUGAGAGCAUGACGCUAAGAGAAGUAAGUCAAAGCAAGACAUACAUUUGAUCUCACUACACGCAGAAUCUAAAAAACUAAAAACAAAAAACCAAACUCAUAGAUACAGAGAACAGAUGGGUGGUUACCAGAGGCUGGGGGUCAGGGGCAAAAUGAGUGAAAAGGGUCAAACAUAGAAACUUCCAGGUAUAAAAUAAAUAAGUCCUGGGGAUAUAAUGUACAGCACGGUGACUAUAGUUUAUAAUACUCUGUUGCAUAUCUGAAAAUUGUAAGAGAGUAGAUCUUAAAAAUUCUCAUCAUGAGAAAAAAAUUUUGUGACUAUGUGUAGUGAGGCACGUGACCCAGAUUUAUUGUGUGGUCUUUCUUUCACCACGUACAACAUGGUGAUGUACACCUGAAACUAAUAUGUUGUCU